This 461-nucleotide unclassified non-coding RNA is filed under the name Hevea brasiliensis (rubber tree). The record is from RNAcentral. Lineage: Eukaryota; Viridiplantae; Streptophyta; Magnoliopsida; Malpighiales; Euphorbiaceae.
UCUCAAUUCAAGAAAAAAAGAACAAAAUAAUAUUAUUACAAAGUUUAUUAUACAACUGUUCAACUGGUUUUUUAGAUACAUAUGAACAAAUAAUUUACAUCAAAAAAGAGAAAUGUACAAGGAUAUAAAAUAUUAUAUCCGUAAAAGAUCCUAAAAUAGUGUUACAACUGCAACUAUAGCAGCUCACUUUACUGCUUUAUCCUUCUCCUUAUCUUUUAUGUUGCUUUGACUUAGUCCACCCUCCCUCCUUCCUUGAAGGACUCCUUUCCAACUGAAACACAUAAUUUAAGGUGUUUCAAUAUCCAUCCAAUUCAUUUCUACUAGUUAAUCCAACCAUUAAAUUUUGCAUACCAAAUUUUACUUAUAAGUUCUCCUAAGAGUUGAGUUCUUUGUAUUUGAUAAUAUUGUAAUUACUAUUCACAUUACUAUUCAUGCAAAUUUUUUUACUUUUUCAUAAUUAA